GACUCUUAGCGGUGGAUCACUUGGGACUUGCAUCGAUGAAGAACGCAGCUAGCUGCGAGAAUUAAUGUGAAUUGUAAGACACAUUGAUCAUCUACACUUCAAACGCACUUGCGGGCCAGGGUUCCUAACCGGGCUAUGCCUGUGUGAGCAUCA
Myotis lucifugus (little brown bat) is the source of this 153-nucleotide ribosomal RNA. It matches the Rfam family "5.8S ribosomal RNA". From Rfam's summary of the family: 5.8S ribosomal RNA (5.8S rRNA) is a component of the large subunit of the eukaryotic ribosome. It is transcribed by RNA polymerase I as part of the 45S precursor that also contains 18S and 28S rRNA. Functionally, it is thought that 5.8S rRNA may be involved in ribosome translocation. Lineage: Eukaryota; Metazoa; Chordata; Mammalia; Chiroptera; Vespertilionidae. The record is from Ensembl.